RNAcentral lists this non-coding RNA (21 nucleotides) under Caenorhabditis elegans. The record is from RNAcentral. Lineage: Eukaryota; Metazoa; Nematoda; Chromadorea; Rhabditida; Rhabditidae.
UGUCUUAUGGGAGAACUUACC